UCCGAGUCUCAAGUACCCGAAACAUGUCUGUUGUAGGUCCUCCAUUACAGGACUAGAUGGGGCACUGAACACGAUCUGUAAGACGUUUGCCAGUGUGUUUAUCGUCGAUGACAUCGGCUGCAUUUGGUUAAAGUGCAAACAAUUUCAUUCAGCUAGCAGAAAAUGAAUA
Molecule: long non-coding RNA, 169 nt
Organism: Hibiscus syriacus
Lineage: Eukaryota; Viridiplantae; Streptophyta; Magnoliopsida; Malvales; Malvaceae
Exons: 3
Source: RefSeq, a predicted model, not a curated record